RNAcentral lists this ribosomal RNA (465 nucleotides) under uncultured bacterium. RNAcentral describes it as "partial 16S ribosomal RNA". It matches the Rfam family "Bacterial small subunit ribosomal RNA", at positions 28 to 507 of the family's 1533-position model. The record is from RNAcentral.
GACGAACGCUGGCGGCGUGCUUAACACAUGCAAGUCGAACGGAAAGGCCCUGCUUGCAGGGUACUCGAGUGGCGAACGGGUGAGUAACACGUGGGUGAUCUGCCCUGCACUUCGGGAUAAGCCUGGUAAACUAGGUCUAAUACCGGAUAGGAGCCAUUUUUAGUGUGAUGGUUGGAAAGUUUUUUCCGUGUAGGAUGAGCUCUCGGCCUAACAGCUUGUUGGUGGGGUAAUGGCCUACCAAGGCGGCUACGGGUAGCCGGCCUGAGAGGGUGGACGGCCAUAUUGGGACUGAGAUAAGGCCCAGACUGCUACGGGAGGCAGAAGUGGGGAAUAUUGCACGAUGGGCGCAAGGCUGAUGCAGCGACGCCGCGUGGGGGAUGACGGCCUUAGGGUUGUAAACUCCUUGCGCUAGGGACGAAGCUUUUUGUGACGGUACCUAGAUAAGAAGCACCGGCUAACUACGUG